GGGAGACAGGGAGGCCUGGGUUUACUGCCGGAAAAGACUCCUCCUGGACAGAGCCCUCUGCCACCCCUGCCCUAGGCCAGUCCCCUCUGAGGCCCCUGGGCCCCGCCAGGGUUCAGAUCUUGCACACAGCCUCAGGAGGCAGGAGGUGACAGUCCCUGUCUGCUGGGGCCCUGGCACCCCACCCGGAGGAGCUGUCCAGUGCCGGGCAUCCCUACAGGACCAGUGAGGAGGUGGCCAGUAUGUGGUGCACUGAAGACCCUUCCCCAGGGGCAUCAGAGGCUCUGGAAUUUGCUAACAGUGGCUCACAGGACCUGGCUGCAGUCCCCACCCUGGGGGCUGUCUCCUGGUGGGCAGCCCACGGUGAGGACCUGAGGCUGCGUUGGGGUCCCGGAGGCUGUCAGGUUGGCCAUGCUGAGCCUGCGGGAGGGAGGGUGAAGGGUGACCCAGGAGGGCCCUGGGCCCUGGAGAGGGGGAUCAGGGGCUGAACCCUGGGUAUCUGUCUUUCCCCAGGAGAGGCAUCUCAAGACAACUCCCAGCAUCGCUCCUUCUCAGAAUGUCUGCUUCUCGGGGUUGAUUCUCUGAUUCUGAAAUAUUAAGUCUGUGAUCCCACAAAGUUAAGAUGCGGGGUUCACUUUGUUCUAGGGUUCACAACGCCGAGGUUCUCUGUGCCUAGAGAGUUUUAGAAGGACUCAGCUCGUGCCAGGCACAGAGGGUGUAACAGAGACUGAGCGAGGAGAGACAGGGCCCAGGCUUCAGGGCCCCCCGUCUAGCUGGGGAGAUGUCGAGGGGGUGGACAUGUGAUGCUGUGUGUGUACCCGACCUGGAGUGAGGUGACUUCCCCUGAGUCAGGCAGCGGAGCGAUGCAGGGUCUCCCUUGGGCCUGCUCUGUUCCUGCCGAAAAUCCAGGGAGUAGCCACGUGGGCAGCGCUUCCCUGCCUCGAAGCACAGCCUGUCGCCAGGAGUGGCUGGGCAGGAGCCCUAGGGCCAAGAGAGACCAACCCCCCCUGAGAGAGGCCUCACAGGACCCCUGCUCACAGCAGCUCCGAGGACCAGCACAGGGCACCUCUCCACGGAGCCCCACGUGGGCCCUGACUGUCAGCUCCUCUGGCUGUGUCCCUGAGAGGACACUGGGACUUGGGGAUCUGGGUGAUGAGGGCGAAGCCCUCAGGUGUGGGCUGCGUCCUUCCGUGAAGGCAUGGGUAUAGGUUCUGGGGUAGUGACCUCGGGGCCCUUCUCACUUUCCACCCUCACUUCUCUGCCCUCACUUGCUCCCGACACCUACCCACCCAUCCACCCAUCUAUCCAUCAUGCAUACAUGCAUCCGUCCACCUAUCCGUCCACCCAUCCAUUAUCCAUCCAUCCAUUAUCCAUCCAUCCAUCCAUUAUCCAUCCAUCCAUCCUCCCCAUCCGUCUAGCCACUCAUCUACCUAUCCAUCCAUGUAUCCACCCAUCCUAUUAUCCAUGCAUUCAUCCAUCUUCCAUCCGUCUAUCAAUCUAUCCAUCUGUCCAUCCAUCCAUUCAUCCAUCCACCAUCUACCCAUCUACUCAUUCCACUUACACGUCCUCUAGGAAAUAAUUACAAUGAUGUUUCUCUAUCUCCUCUCUCCUCUUCCCUUUCUCAUUUACACACACACCUACCCCUGACAGGAGAAAACAGUAAUUCUCAAAGACCACGGAGUGAAACCUGGUGGGGCUCGGAGAGCCUUAGGUCUGCAGGUGGUUGGCAGGCAGCUCUGGAACUUGCAACACCUGACAUGCAGACACUCCGUUUUUAUUUAAGAUUAUGUUAACUGGGGAGGAGAAGGGGGCUUUGG
Molecule: long non-coding RNA, 1814 nt
Organism: Balaenoptera musculus (blue whale)
Lineage: Eukaryota; Metazoa; Chordata; Mammalia; Artiodactyla; Balaenopteridae
Exons: 4
Source: RefSeq, a predicted model, not a curated record